UAUUUAUCAGGCGGGCUGGAACCCCCCGCUGGGCACUGCUUCACGGCGUGCGCGGCGGGGCCGGCCCUGCUGAAUUAUUCACCCGUGUCUUUUGCGUACUUCUUGUUUCCUGGGUGGGCUCGCCCGCCCUCAGGACCAACCACAAACCUUUUGCAAUAGCAAUCAGCGUCAGUAACAACGUAAUUAAUUACAACUUUCAACAACGGAUCUCUUGGUUCUGGCAUCGAUGAAGAACGCAGCGAAAUGCGAUACGUAGUGUGAAUUGCAGAAUUCAGUGAAUCAUCGAAUCUUUGAACGCACAUUGCGCCCUUUGGUAUUCCAAAGGGCAUGCCUGUUCGAGCGUCAUUUGUACCCUCAAGCUUUGCUUGGUGUUGGGCGUCUUUUGUCUCCAGUUCGCUGGAGACUCGCCUUAAAGUCAUUGGCAGCCGGCCUACUGGUUUCGGAGCGCAGCACAAGUCGCGCUCUUUGCCAGCCAAGGUCAGCGUCCAGCAAGCCUUUUUUUCAACCUUUGACCUCGGAUCAGGUAGGGAUACCCGCUGAACUUAA
RNAcentral lists this ribosomal RNA (546 nucleotides) under uncultured fungus. RNAcentral's name for it is "eukaryotic LSU rRNA". The stretch from base 192 to 345 matches the Rfam family "5.8S ribosomal RNA". The record is from RNAcentral. Lineage: Eukaryota; Fungi.